GCUGGAGGGACGCGGGCCCUCGCCCCCGAAAGUCAGCCUGCCACCUUCCCCGAGUCUCCCCGCUCCUCUUUCUCCUCGGAGCCCCUCUCCACCGCCCUGUCCCAGCUGGGCACCGGCCUUCCUAGGAGUUCUCCAUAGAAGGAAGCCCAGCAGAGGAGCGAAACCGAGAACCCCGAGGCUGGGGGGUGGGGCAGAGGUGGAGGCUGGGCAUGCUCAAACUGGAGGACCCAUCACAAACCCGCCCUGCUGCGACCCUCCUCCCUCCCUACGCCAUCCCCUCUCCAAAUCAAGCCUGACUUUUGGAUGGCCUAGAAGAAGGACCAAAGGAAAAGAAGUUUCUAGGGGAGCCUUCGGUACGGUGGAAACUCUGCAGGCCUGGAGGAGGGCGCCUAAUAGCCGCAAGGGCCUCACUUUUCUCCGGGGACAGAAAUGAAAAGUCCCGCUGGGAAAGGAGAUACCAUCUUGAUCUCUGUGGGAAUGGAGCAGGUAGCAACACUCGUGCUCCUGUUGGGUGAUAAACGGGUGUGUCAAGGCAGAGGGAGGCGGGCGCUAAACCUCCCCGAGGUCAUCUCCACCUCCAGCACAGCAUCAUGGGAGAAGUCAGAGCUGAGGACCAAACCCAGGGCCUUGGGCAAGCACUCUAC
Molecule: long non-coding RNA, 644 nt
Organism: Peromyscus leucopus (white-footed mouse)
Lineage: Eukaryota; Metazoa; Chordata; Mammalia; Rodentia; Cricetidae
Exons: 3
Source: RefSeq, a predicted model, not a curated record